RNAcentral lists this ribosomal RNA (468 nucleotides) under uncultured bacterium. RNAcentral describes it as "partial 16S ribosomal RNA". It matches the Rfam family "Bacterial small subunit ribosomal RNA", at positions 28 to 507 of the family's 1533-position model. The record is from RNAcentral.
GACGAACGCUGGCGGCGUGCUUAACACAUGCAAGUCGAACGGAAAGGCCCUGCUUUUGUGGGGUGCUCGAGUGGCGAACGGGUGAGUAACACGUGAGUAACCUGCCCUUGACUUUGGGAUAACUUCAGGAAACUGGGGCUAAUACCGGAUAGGAGAUCCUGCUGCAUGGUGGGGGUUGGAUAGUUUCGGCGGUUGGGGAUGGACUGGCGGCUUAUCAACUUGUUGGUGGGGUAGGGGAUUACCCAGGGUUUGACGGGUAGCCGGCAUGAGAGGGUGACCGGCCACAUUGGGACUGCGAUACGGCCCAGUCUCCUAUGGGAGGCAGCAGUGGGGAAUAUUGCACAAUGGGCGGAAGCCUGAUGCAGCAACGCCGCGUGCGGGAUGACGGCCUUCGGGUUGUGAACCGCUUUCGCCUGUGACGAAGCGUGAGUGACGGUAAUGGGUAAAGAAGCACCGGCUAACUACGUG